CCUUUGUUGCAUGUCUCACAAUUCCACUCACAGCCACUAUAUCUGCAUUUUCUCUAAAUUUUGGUACUUCAUUUGACUCAAGUCCAGUUAUAUAGUGAUUAUAAAUUUAAGUACAAUGUUUCAAAAUUUCAUUUUCUAAAUUGAAUUGUUCUGUGCACUAUCCAAAUGUUCCCCUGCAAAGUAGUGAGCACAUUGGGUUGUAUCCACUUAUGGUAUAUGUAAAACAAAAAAGUCCUUUUUAUGAACUGACAAUUGUUAAUAUUGUUAUUGAAUUCUUUCCUAGACCAUGCCUCUGGUUUUCUCCAAUUGUAUAUUCUGUUAAUAUUGAACUGACAAUUAAUAUUGUUAUUGAACUGACAAUUGUAUAUACUGUUCAAUUGUUGUGUAUAAAGACCAAAUAAGUAGUUAAUAGUCAUUCAUUUAUGUUCUUGACUUGAUAUCUUAAUAUACUUU
RNAcentral lists this long non-coding RNA (453 nucleotides) under Trifolium pratense (red clover). Its description in RNAcentral is "long non-coding RNA (TPRA_LNC007924)". The record is from RNAcentral. Lineage: Eukaryota; Viridiplantae; Streptophyta; Magnoliopsida; Fabales; Fabaceae.